GCGGUGCUGCGCGGCGCGGCGGCCUGGCGGGUCCGGAAGCGCCAUGGACCCCCCGGGAAACGCGCGCGCGGCGGCGGAGUCCAACCCCACUGCGACUCGGACCCCGGACCUCACCCUGCGGAGACCUGAUGAUUUCCCUGGUUCAACACCAAAACCCUGGAAUUGAAUGGAAAAUGCAAAGGCAGGGCCCUGCCCCCCAGGGGGUGCAAUCCCUGCCUCCUACUUCUGCAGUAAGAGUUAGGUCUGCUCAGUUGGUCCAACCCAGCCGCCCGCUGUUACGCACUUUUUUGCAGAGUGUAUACUAAUCACCUUAGAUUUUAGUCCAUCUGCGAUUCCGCUUUAUAACUUCCGCUCUGCUAUAGAUCUUGAUGUGGAAGAGAUGGAGGACUCAGAACCAAGGAUUUCCAAGUGAUUUCUUCCAAAGCACGAGAAACUAAUUUCGUUAAGGCUGAUCCGUUCUA
Molecule: long non-coding RNA, 461 nt
Organism: Eptesicus fuscus (big brown bat)
Lineage: Eukaryota; Metazoa; Chordata; Mammalia; Chiroptera; Vespertilionidae
Exons: 3
Source: RefSeq, a predicted model, not a curated record